Long non-coding RNA from Rhododendron vialii, 3191 nucleotides. RefSeq lists it as uncharacterized. The record is from RefSeq and is a predicted model, not a curated record. The transcript has 3 exons. Lineage: Eukaryota; Viridiplantae; Streptophyta; Magnoliopsida; Ericales; Ericaceae.
AGUGGGGUCUUUAUGGUUCUUUACCCAUUUGAUGAAAAAGAAGAGUUUUUCAUAUUUUUCUACAACUUCAAAGACAGUGAGCUUGUGUGCGUGGGCGAGCGUGUAUAGUAACAACUUUAAUGGCAUAAGCCGUAAAUAGGUAUGGGAGAAUCAUAUACAAAUGAAUGAGGAAAAGAAAGAGACCAAAGAAAUGAGGAAACAACAACGGAAUAAAGACACCAGGCAUAAGAAAGAGAAAACAAACGAUGAUAAAAACACCGUUUCUACGACCAUGAGCACGAUGGAAGGCAUGCAACAUGCUUAGGUUGUUUUGUUGAACUUUUCAUCUUCAUUUCUUUUAGAUGCCUUUUGCACUUCUAAUCCUGAGGUUAAUUUUUUAUGAGUUUGUUAUGACUCAGUAUUAUUAUUCAACUCAUGCAUUUAAACUUCUUGUUGCAUUUCUUUGUGUGAAGAUUGAUGGACAUAUUUUAGGAAGUAUAUUAAGCUAAGGGGAAAUCGAAGUAUGAGUCUGCUGGGAUAUGGCACCUCAUUGAUGACAUGGUUCUUUAUGCUCUUAAGAGCGAAGGAUGUUAUGUAUGGGCAUGCAAAAACUAUGACGGGAUGUACAGGGUGAUAUCUUGCCACAAGGUUUGUGUGUAAGACUUUAGAGGACCUCGGCGUCAACAUGCAAUUGCGCAGAUUAUUGUAAUCUAUGUUGCUUAGUUUGACGACCAGGACUGGAUGUGCUACCAAUUGAAGUGUUACUCUUUUAAACUUUAGUGCUGUAUUUGAUCUCAAAUUUCUAGCUGCACUCUUGCAGGGUUUGGAUCUCUUGAUCUGAUGAUAUUUCCUGGUGUGUUUCUUUUUCAACCGACGCCUAUAUCCAGUUCUAAACAAAAUGAAUGAUGGUCCAAACAAGAUAGCUUCCUGUUAUGGAGAUAUUCAACGAAUAGUUACUUGAACAUCUAUUUAGUGAAGUUUUAUAGUCUUGAAUGUGUUGGUGGGAGAGAAGUUUCACGCACUUAAACACAUAAAUAUUUCACACUUCCACAUAAAAGAAAUUACAAAGCUUUUGGAAAGAAAAAAAAAAUUACCCCUCACUGAUUUUUCCUAUUCUCACAAACAAACCCACACAAUACAAAGACACAAAUACAUGCAUUAUAUGAACUCCAAUUUGCAUCUACUUCAACAGCAACAUAAACACCUCCUUAGUAGGUUUAUCAUCAAAUGCAAUUCUUUUGGGGCACCUUGGGCCACUCUCUAACCACCAAUAAUGCCACCUUUUUUUAUUUUUCAGAAUAAUAAUGCCCCUCAAUAAUUCGAUUUUUGGCUUUUGCCUCUAAAAUCAAGUUUACCUCUCGACAGAAUGCAUGCCCUGUUAGUUUUUUCCUUUUGGAUUGGCGAAAGUCCGUAAUGUUGGAAUAGUUAGAUAGCACCUUAGAUGAGUUGAACUCCUAACCUAAGUGCACUUCCGAUGCUGUUGGACCAAAAUCCUCUUGGCAUGCAUGCUAUAGUAGUUAGACAUCUGUUUUGUGGAAGUUAUGUUUCUGAUGGACAUAAGCUUAACAAUCAUGAAUUGAAAUGAGAAUUUGAGAUUUUAUGUAAAUGUGCCUUUGAUUUGGUGUGCGGAAAUGGAAAAUGGUAUGAGAUUGAUCCCUACAUAUGUAGUUGAAUACUCACCCAUCAAGUAUAUCACUAGUUUGGUUAUGAAAUGCUCUACAUAAUCCCGUAAGCAUAGGUUUACCCAACAUGGGACACUAAUAACUCCAACACUUGGACAUGUACCACUUUAGACAUGUAUUGCUCCUAUCACCUGUACUUUGGUCUAUGUAAAAUAGUUUGGUUCAUGACGAAUGUUGAUGUGUUGGCCACAUGUUGCAAAUGGAUUUACUGGGUUUUCUCCUGAAACAUUAGUAUGUAUAUAUGUAUUUUUCAUUUGUGGAGUUCAUUCCUAGAUAUGUUGAAUCAUCUGUGAACAUUUUCUUUGUUUUCAUUUAACUUGCCAGUUUUAUGUUGUCGGGGUCCCAAUGACGAAGGAAUUGUGGUUUCUGGCCAUGCCAUGUCUGAGAUGUAGUCUGAAAAGGUUGAUAUCAUAUACUCUUGGGGACAUAACUUGAACUUGAUUUGUAAUACAUCUCGCCAAUAUAUUAUCAAAUUCAAGUUCAAGUUCCAUCCCAUGGAGUGAGUUGCUAUCCCUUGGAGGACCAUGGAGCAUAAGGGGAACCAAUUCCAUGAGCAUUUGGUUAUGAAAGCAUCAGCAGCAAAUCCCAUUUUAGUAAUAGCUUUGCCUAGUACUUAGAUCAAGGAUCUUGUUACAAAUGUGAGGUUCACUGACUAUGAAGUGUAGGGCUGGAAGUGCAUGUUGGUAUUGUCCCUGGCUGAAGAAACACUUAUGAAGCUAUUGAAAUUUGGGUUAUCAGUGGAAGGCUUUCCUUUCUCAUGAGUAGGACCCCAUUUCGGUAUUUACAUCAGCUACAAACCCAGAUGUGACACCUUUUUCCCUUUUUGUUGAAUUGGAAAAUCAGCCUCUCAAGACUUCUAAGCGGCAGAAGCAAAAGUUCAACUAGAUGUUUAUCCUCCGGGAUACAUCCCAUAGUUUAGUAAGAUUGCUCGGUUUGUUUGAUAUCUCACUGUUGUUUGCAACAUUUCAAACUGAUCCCAUGUUAAAAUCUUGUUUUGUGAAUUUCUUUAGAGAACUGUUUUUGGAUAAUUUUCCUGAAAACACUGCCGCCCAUGUUCAGGAAACGAUUUUCGAUUAUGACUCUGAAUGAAAAAUAAACCAUAUCAAGAAAUUUCGAUUCCGGACUUUUCAUUUUUCUCUUCUCAGAAACAUGAAAAACAAAAGCGAAAAGCGGGUUUCUGAAAGCAAUAUAUACCAAUCUUGUUCACAAUUGAAAGAGUACUGGACUGGUGAUAGAAUAUUUGAGGAAGUUUUUGGUGGGGGAUGGUGAAGUCUCAACUAUUAAGACCUUUCCAAAGUUCAACAUCUCUGUUUAUGAAACGUGGACACAAGGAAACAAUUUUGGAGACCAAAGAAUGACCCACCAAAUAUCUGAUGCCUCACUCUAUCAUCAUUAGAUCUUAGAAGACUUUUGACAUUGAUUUGAGGGGCAUGAUUGUUUUAUGGAAUUCAGCACACAUAAUGCCCCCCCGCUCUCUCUCCGUGCUUUAUUUUAUUGCAACUUUGAAUAUUGAUACUGAAAUCAUGAGAA